CAGGCCCACCUGCUAAUGCCCCCUACUUUCAGGUAUUGACCCCUCUGCCUAUAAAGCUUCUCCCAUGAAGGUAUCAACACCUCUCACUGCACCUUCUUCUCCCAGGAAGGUAUUGUUUCCUCUGCCUGUCCAAUUUCUCCCAGGUAUUGACCCCUCUGCCUGCGACUCCUUCCACCAGGCAGGUAUCGACCCUGAUGCCUG
This is a non-coding RNA of Pelobates cultripes (western spadefoot toad), 201 nucleotides long. NCBI's taxonomy places the organism in Eukaryota, Metazoa, Chordata, Amphibia, Anura, Pelobatidae. The record is from the annotation of a GenBank genome assembly.